ACGGGUGAGUAACGCGUAGGCAAUCUGCCUUCUAGAUGGGGACAACAUCCCGAAAGGGGUGCUAAUACCGAAUGUUGUAGUAUUUCCGCAUGGACUAGCUACUAAAGGUGGCCUCUGAAUAUGCUACCGCUAGAAGAUGAGCCUGCGUCUGAUUAGCUAGUUGGAGGGGUAACGGCCCACCAAGGCUUCGAUCAGUAGCCGGUCUGAGAGGAUGAACGGCCACACUGGGACUGAGACACGGCCCAGACUCCUACGGGAGGCAGCAGUGGGGAAUCUUCCGCAAUGGACGAAAGUCUGACGGAGCAACGCCGCGUGAGUGAAGAAGGUUUUCGGAUCGUAAAGCUCUUUCGUCAGGGACGAACGUAUUUCUUGUAAAUAAUGAGAGAUAGUGACGGUACCUGAAUAAGAAGCCACGGCUAACUACGUGCCAGCAGCCGCGGUAAUACGUAGGUGGCAAGCGUUGUCCGGAAUUAUUGGGCGUAAAGCGCGCGCAGGCGGGAUAUCAAGUCUGUCUUAAAAGUGCGAGGCUCAACCUCGUGAGGGGACAGAAACUGGUAUUCUUGAGUGUCGGAGAGGAAAGUGGAAUUCCAAGUGUAGCGGUGAAAUGCGUAGAGAUUUGGAAGAACACCAGUGGCGAAGGCGACUUUCUGGACGAUGUCUGACGCUGAGGCGCGAAAGCUAGGGGAGCGAACGGGAUUAGAUACCCCGGUAGUCCUAGCCGUAAACGAUGGGUACCAGGUGUAGGGGGUAUCGACCCCUCCUGUGCCGGAGUUAACGCAAUAAGUACCCCGCCUGGGGAGUACGGCCGCAAGGUUGAAACUCAAAGGAAUUGACGGGGGCCCGCACAAGCGGUGGAGUAUGUGGUUUAAUUCGACGCAACGCGAAGAACCUUACCAGGGCUUGACAUUGAGUGAAAGACCUAGAGAUAGGUCC
Molecule: ribosomal RNA, 933 nt
Filed under: uncultured bacterium
Lineage: Bacteria
Description: bacterial SSU rRNA
Rfam family: Bacterial small subunit ribosomal RNA
Source: RNAcentral